RNAcentral lists this transfer RNA (74 nucleotides) under Candidatus Woesearchaeota archaeon. RNAcentral describes it as "tRNA-Leu". It matches the Rfam family "tRNA". From Rfam's summary of the family: Transfer RNA (tRNA) molecules are approximately 80 nucleotides in length. Their secondary structure includes four short double-helical elements and three loops (D, anti-codon, and T loops). The record is from RNAcentral. Lineage: Archaea; Nanobdellati; Candidatus Woesearchaeota.
GGGCCGGUGGUCUAGUUGGUUAGGACGUCGCCCUAAGUAGGCGAAGAUCCCCGGUUCGAAUCCGGGCCGGCCCA